CAGCUGUAAACGAUGCAGACUAGGUGUUUGGACGGCCACGUGCCGUUCUAGUGCCGCAGGGAAGCUGUUAAGUCUGCCGCCUGGGGAGUACGAUCGCAAGAUUGAAACUUAAAGGAAUUGGCGGGGGAGCACCACAAGGGUGAAGCUUGCGGUUUAAUUGGAGUCAACGCCGGAAAUCUCACCGGGAGCGACAGCAGUGUGAUAGCCAGAUUAAAGGUCUUGCUAGACGAGCUGAGAGGUGGUGCAUGGCGUAGUCGUGU
RNAcentral lists this ribosomal RNA (260 nucleotides) under uncultured archaeon. RNAcentral's name for it is "partial 16S ribosomal RNA". It matches the Rfam family "Archaeal small subunit ribosomal RNA", at positions 748 to 1009 of the family's 1478-position model. The record is from RNAcentral.